UGAGGGAAAGAUGAAAAGAACUUUGAAAAGAGAGUUAAAUAGUGCUUGAAAUUGUUGAGGGGGAAGCGUUUGAAUGCUCGAGUGCGCUUAGGCUUAUGGGUCCUUAACGGGGCUCUGUAUGUGCUAGGUGCUGGCCAGCAUGGGUUAGGCUAGUGGGACAAAAGCGUGGGUUGAUACCAUGCCGCUGCCACUGGCCUGACCAAGGCGUGAAGACUGCCCUUGUCCUUCGGGAACUGCAGUCUCAAGAUGCUGGUGAAAGGCUUUCAACCGACCCGUCUUGAAACACGGACCAAGGAGUCUAACAUGUAUGCGAGUUGGUGGGUGGAAAACCCAUGAAGCGUAAGGAAACUGACUGGUGGGAUGGCCUGUGCCUGCACCAUCGACCGACCAUGCGUUUCUGCAAAAGGUUUGAGUGCGAGCAUACCUGUUGGGACCCGAAAGAUGGUGAACUAUGCCUGAGCAGGGUGAAGCCAGGUGAAAACCUGGUGGAGGCUCGUAGAUGUGCUGACGUGCAA
RNAcentral lists this ribosomal RNA (515 nucleotides) under Scenedesmus quadricauda. RNAcentral's name for it is "LSU rRNA". It matches the Rfam family "Eukaryotic large subunit ribosomal RNA", at positions 354 to 896 of the family's 3401-position model. Lineage: Eukaryota; Viridiplantae; Chlorophyta; Chlorophyceae; Sphaeropleales; Scenedesmaceae. The record is from RNAcentral.